Lolium rigidum is the source of this 3426-nucleotide long non-coding RNA. RefSeq lists it as uncharacterized. Lineage: Eukaryota; Viridiplantae; Streptophyta; Magnoliopsida; Poales; Poaceae. The record is from RefSeq and is a predicted model, not a curated record. The transcript is spliced from 3 exons.
ACCUGCGCCAGACCAGCGGCUCGAAGGAACCGCCGCCACCGCGGUCUUCCUGGGCACGCCGUAGUAGCUGCGAUUGACCACCAGCCUUCCAGAUCCGAGGACCACCGCUGCCGAGGUUGAUCGCCGGCCUCUCGAUCCGAGGAAUCCCCCGCUCCUAGGCUGGGGCGCCCACACCAUGACGACGGAUUCCGCUGUGCGCGACGCAGCAGAAACGAUCUGGCAACGUUGAUCUAGGUCCGGACGGAUCCAGUCUACCGUUACUAACACCUACGACGUACUAUGGUUGUUGUGGUGCUCCAUCAGAAAUGGAACCCGAGUCCCUCUACUCCGAGGAGAGAUGGACCGAAAGAUUUGGCUUUGCAGGGACCAACAUCUACACUGAGAUUCUCAAGCACGCCACUCCUGUAGACAGAUGAAACACGUAGAAGCUUAUUUUAGUUUGGCAUGGUCCUGCCCUUGACGGCGUCGUCCGCCGCCGCCCCGCAUACUCAUCCCACAGGCUCGCUGCCUCCGCCUGCGAACACUGGGUCCUUGCACGCUCGACGCCGCCGACAUGAACACCAGCUCUCUGAAGCUGUUACCUGGAGCUAAAGGUAGACUUUCUGUUUUCCUCAAUCUUUCCCCAGUUGCAUUGUUCUGUUCAUGGUGCCAAAUAGUGCAUUGUUGUGUUCAUUCAUUGGUCCAUUUCACUUCUAUACUGGUAUAUAUCCAAAUAGUGCAGUGUUGUAGCUUCUAUUGGUUCAGAUUGGUUCAGCUUAGUUCAUAUUUUGUUUGUCUAUGUUUGUGUACUUGCUGUAUGACAAACUAAGGAAGCUGGGCUUCAGUGGUUUAGAUUGGUUCUUCUGCAUUCCUUCAGAUCGCGCAGCUACUUCUAUUUACAAAUCUGAACUGCUACUCCUCAAUACUACUUAUGUUUACACGAGUUGUGUAUGUACCAAAUUUCAACUUCUCAGAUUCAAAGUUAUGCAUGAACCAAAUCUAAACUACUACUUCUGUUUACACGAGCUCGGUAUGUACAGGGGUACAACUUGCGCUCAGUAAUGCAGGUUUGAACCAACAUGAAUUCUGGACUUUUUUAAUUCGAAAACGCUGAUCUGCUCUGUUCGUUAAGUCCUCAUAGUUUUGAAUGUGAAAUUGACAGUAAACAACAUUUAAUCUGUGUCACUAUAGUGUGUUCUUCUUAGUUAUUACCCUUCUAUAUGAUUGAUGUAGUAUGGGCGGUUUAAAAGAAAGAUAGCUAUUGAAUAUUUGACCAAAGAUUUAUUCGCGGUAUUUAGUUUUGAUAUUCAAGUUGGCUUAUUACAGAUUUCGAAUUUGAUCUAACUUUCAUUGAUUUGAUGUAAAGUUACAGGUAAGUCUCCACUCUCUUUAUUAAUGUAGAUAUAUAUGCUCCCCACUUAUGGGAUCUCACGGUAUCAUUCCUUAUGUAUGUAAAAAAAUCAUUAAGAAGGAUAGGAGACAUGCAUUGUGAAGCCUAAAUUUUUCAGGAUUUAUACGGAUCUUAAAACUGAACCUUAUUGGCAAUGUUCAUAUGCUCUUUCUGGAAGUGCUAAGAGUAGAGGUGCAUGAAAUUUUUCUUUCAAGUUGAACCAUCCAACAUUUACUUUUAUUCAAUUGUUCAUAACGGUUUCUUUUUCCUGCAAGAACGCGAGGCAACGUUCAAAUUAAGGGAUUGAGUUUUCUGUAAAUUUCUCAACCAAAUGAAUAUUAAAUAAUCACCAAUACACUUUGUGCCAAUUUUUUGUGCCUUUGCAAUGUUGUCCCAGGAGUAGUGGUGGUAGAUCGUAAUCAUAAGCUGUUUUGCAUCACAUUGUCGUUAUUUAAAUAGUGUUUUUCUGUUUGCUGGAAACUUUAUGGUAAUACAUCUAAAAGCUCAUUAAAUAUAUCCAACCCUUCUUUUGAGAGGAAAAUGAGAACCUUUGGUGCCAUCAGUGAUAGAAAACAUUAUUUGUCCAAUGAAUAUAUAUUUUAAGUUUGUGUGAUACACUUUUUAUUAUUGACAUUCUUUCUUGCUAUCUUCGACCUUUUCUGAAUGUUUGGUAGCUCUGAGAAGUUAACAGGUUGCUAUUCUUUCUUACUAGCUUCUGGGACCUGUAAUGGUAUUAUUAGAUUGUCUUCAUAGGCAAUCUUUUAUGCAUUCUACUGAAACGGGACUUUUUUUUUGAACAGGGGACCGGGUCUAGAAAGACCCCGAAGAAGCUGCAUUAACUCGGUGGGUACAUUUUACAGUACAGGCCCUGAAAGAAAGAAGCUUGAAAGCAGGCCAGGAAAUUUACACAGAGGACCCUAAAAAGAAAAUUGCAAACGCCAUCCAGUCCCAGAAGAUCCUCUUCUCCACCGCUGCUUGAAUCCCGUCGCCGGCCGGCCUUUUCGCGUCGGGGACACACCACUUGACGCAGGUAGAAUGGGGAACUCCGACCGGAACUCAACUUGAAAGGCCUCCUUGACGGCACACCGGCCUGGAGGUUGAUGGAGGAGCUGCGCCACACGCAGCAUCCCAGCGCGGAGUGGCCGCAUCGGCCUAGAGUAACAGCGGCGCCAAAUUGCCGCCGUUUAGAAGCUCCGCAGGUUGCAGCCAACAAGAUCCCCGACCAUCCAGCUCGAGAAAGAAUACACAUCCGCCACCAUCCUUGCCAUCCACCUCCUCGGUGGCCUGAAGAAGACGGCUGCAGACACACAUCUUCUCGAUCUGAAUCACCACCAAAUACGAGCUUAUUGGAGGAGAUCCCAGCGCCGCCGCCACGCUCCGCCUCCGGCUCUGUCCUCCAGAGUGCCACAAAGGAAGCGACGAACACCAGGAGUCGCUGGAACUGGCUCGCGCAAACCAGCGACUCACUCCAGUCGAGCACAAGGCCCAAACUCCAUAAAGGUAGCCCUAAACUAGAACCUAGCCUACUAUUUACAGAGGAGCCAGACCACCUAAACCUUCUCUUCGCCGGCCAGCAUCGCCACCGGAGAGAGGAGGCCAGGGGCGGCAGGGAGGAGGAGGAAGCGACUCUCAACUAGGGCGAUAAGGGAGAGGAGACAGGGUGAACUGAUCGAGUCCGGUGAAACGGACUGAUGUAGCUAAAUCUCCCCAUCCUUCUAAGUUCCCUCACUUUCUUUUAUAUGCGAUGAUUGUUUAGGGUGUUUGAACGUCUUGCAAUUGGUUUUUCUCAUUAGUUGUAACAUAAAACUGAAUCCUUUCCCUAGGAUUUUUUUUUGACGGAUUCCCUUGGAAUUUGGAUAUAAGUAAAACUUGAAAUGUACUUCUCUCGGUAGCUGAAUAUUGUUAGUUUUACGUGUGCUAAUUACAACUUCGUUGCUUUCCCAAUUGGUACACAGAGGCAUUGCCCUUAGAUACACAUUAUUUUUUGGCUUUCUUAAUUUUUUGAUGGACUAUUAUACAAUUGUUUAUAGAGUCAUGGAAGAAAACAAAAAUCUUUA